UUAAUACUUAAGGAAUUUGGUUUUAAAUAUACUUAAGACUUUUGCUCAAGUAGUAUUUUACUGGGUGACUAACUUUUACUUGAGUAAUUUUCUAUUUAGGUAUCUUUUACUUUUACUCAAGUAUGACAAUUAGGUACCUUUCCUCAAGUAUGACAAUUAGGCACUUUUCCUCAGGUACGACAAUUAGGUAUUUUUUCUCAAGUAUGACAAUUAGGUAUUUUUUCUCAAGUAUGACAAUUAGGUACUUUUUCUCAAGUAUGACAAUGAGGUACUUUUUCUCGAAUAUGACAAUUAGGUACUUUUCCUCAAGUAUGACAAUUAGGUACUUUUCCUCAAGUAUGAC
Long non-coding RNA from Oncorhynchus tshawytscha (Chinook salmon), 343 nucleotides. The record is from Ensembl. Lineage: Eukaryota; Metazoa; Chordata; Actinopteri; Salmoniformes; Salmonidae.